GGGUGCGUGGCUGGAGAACUUCUCCCUUGGGGAGGGGGGAGAAACUCUGAGCCUUUGCUCCGGGUGACCGAAUGUCUAGCUUCACCGCUGCUUGUGGGCACACCCUAAUCAUG
Molecule: long non-coding RNA, 113 nt
Organism: Nanorana parkeri
Lineage: Eukaryota; Metazoa; Chordata; Amphibia; Anura; Dicroglossidae
Exons: 4
Source: RefSeq, a predicted model, not a curated record